RNAcentral lists this long non-coding RNA (223 nucleotides) under Mytilus galloprovincialis (Mediterranean mussel). The record is from RNAcentral. Lineage: Eukaryota; Metazoa; Mollusca; Bivalvia; Mytilida; Mytilidae.
UGAAGCUGAACGAACGGACAGAAGGACGAACAAACUGACGCCCAGACCAGAAAACAUAAUGCCCCUCUUCUAUCGUAGGUGGGGCAUAAAAAGGCAAAUUAUAUCAAAGAGUCAUUCAAACUUAUUAGUCAAAGACAUACUGACAACUCCUUGACAUUAAAACAAAAAACGACGUAAAUUCAACAACAGUAAUACAAACAAACCCACAGCAACCACAGCAAAG